Long non-coding RNA from Triticum aestivum (bread wheat), 768 nucleotides. RefSeq lists it as uncharacterized. The record is from RefSeq and is a predicted model, not a curated record. NCBI's taxonomy places the organism in Eukaryota, Viridiplantae, Streptophyta, Magnoliopsida, Poales, Poaceae. The transcript has 3 exons.
GCCGCACCAAAGAAAAUGCUCUCAGCCUUGGACGAUCCAUUCACUCGAUUCUUGAAACCAUUACCUUUUCUGAAGCAAGACUAGCUAGCACCCAAGGUGCCCUGGCAGGUGUACGUUUAUCCAUUGGCUACCCGUUGGAGCAUCACUUGCGGUGCUCUUUGUAAUGUCACUUGGUGGGUUUUGCAGAAAUGACUGUCUAGAGACGUUUUAUCUUGAUAAUUGACAACAUAAGAGUGCAAAAUAUUUGACAGCAGAUCGCUUAUGGGGUCAUCAAGGAAACUCAAUAGAUGGCUAUUUCAGUGGAGAUUAUACCAGAGAUGUUGUUUUGAAAGUAUAUGCCAGGAGAGAAAGAUAUACUUGAAACCCGAUGAGGUCAAUGAUGUGGAGAUUUUACCAGAGAUGUUGUUUUCAAGUAAGAUUUUGUGUGAGAUUAUACCGAUCGCACCAGCACGCCACAUUGUUGCUCCACGGCAAAGGCAGCGAGGUAAUUUUUCUUUUCGCACCGAUGUAAUUUUCCUUUUCUUUUAGCCCACUCCCAGGUCUCUUCCGUUCAUAUUCUAAUCACGCAUGGUGAGCGGCGGUUUCGACAGCAACUGGCUGGCUGCUGCUGGCUUGUACGUGUGGAAGGCAGUUGUUCACGGCAGACCAGUGAGCGGCGGCGGGUGGGCGCGACCACAUGGUGGUUGGAAGGUAGGCUUCGCGGCGUUCAGCCUCGGCCACCAUCGUACCACGAUCUCGGCCCACCCGGAAAGUUGGAUGAAGAGGUGG